UGGGGAAUUUUGGACAAUGGGCGAAAGCCUGAUCCAGCAAUGCCGCGUGUGUGAAGAAGGCCUUCGGGUUGUAAAGCACUUUUGUCCGGAAAGAAAUCCUUGGCUCUAAUACAGUCGGGGGAUGACGGUACCGGAAGAAUAAGCACCGGCUAACUACGUGCCAGCAGCCGCGGUAAUACGUAGGGUGCAAGCGUUAAUCGGAAUUACUGGGCGUAAAGCGUGCGCAGGCGGUUUGCUAAGACCGAUGUGAAAUCCCCGGGCUCAACCUGGGAACUGCAUUGGUGACUGGCAGGCUAGAGUAUGGCAGAGGGGGGUAGAAUUCCACGUNUAGCAGUGAAAUGCGUAGAGAUGUGGAGGAAUACCGAUGGCGAAGGCAGCCCCCUGGGCAAGUACUGACGCUCAUGCACGAAAGCGUGGGGAGCAAACNGGAUUAGAUACCCUGGUAGUCCACGCCCUAAA
RNAcentral lists this ribosomal RNA (459 nucleotides) under uncultured bacterium. Its description in RNAcentral is "partial 16S ribosomal RNA". It matches the Rfam family "Bacterial small subunit ribosomal RNA", at positions 355 to 806 of the family's 1533-position model. The record is from RNAcentral.